UACCUACGGGGGGCAGCAGUGGGGAAUAUUGCACAAUGGGGGAAACCCUGAUGCAGCGACGCCGCGUGAGCGAUGAAGUAUUUCGGUAUGUAAAGCUCUAUCAGCAGGGAAGAAGAUGACGGUAUCUGACUAAGAAGCCCCGGCUAACUACGUGCCAGCAGCCGCGGUAAUACGUAGGGGGCAAGCGUUAUCCGGAUUUACUGGGUGUAAAGGGAGCGUAGACGGCGGUGCAGACCAGAUGUGAAAGCCCGGGGCGCAACCCCGGGACAGCAUUUGGAAAUGUAUGGCGGGAGUGUCGUGGAGGG
This 305-nucleotide ribosomal RNA is filed under the name uncultured bacterium. RNAcentral's name for it is "bacterial SSU rRNA". It matches the Rfam family "Bacterial small subunit ribosomal RNA", at positions 335 to 658 of the family's 1533-position model. The record is from RNAcentral.